GACGAACGCUGGCGGCGUGCUUAACACAUGCAAGUCGAACGGAAAGGCCCUGCUUUUGUGGGGUGCUCGAGUGGCGAACGGGUGAGUAACACGUGAGUAACCUGCCCUUGACUUUGGGAUAACUUCAGGAAACUGGGGCUAAUACCGGAUAGGAUCUCCUGCUGCAUGGUGGGGGUUGGAAAGUUUCGGCGGUUGGGGAUGGACUCGCGGCUUAUCAGCUUGUUGGUGGGGUAGUGGCUUACCAAGGCUGUGACGGGUAGCCGGCCUGAGAGGGUGACCGGCCACAUUGGGACUGAGAUACGGCGCAGACUCGUACGGGAGGCAGUAGUGGGGAAUAUUGCACAAUGGGCGGAAGCCUGAUGCAGCAACGCCGCGUGCGGGAUGACGGCCUUCGGGUUGUAAACCGCUUUCGCCUGUGACGAAGCGUGAGUGACGGUAAUGGGUAAAGAAGCACCGGCUAACUACGUG
This 468-nucleotide ribosomal RNA is filed under the name uncultured bacterium. RNAcentral's name for it is "partial 16S ribosomal RNA". It matches the Rfam family "Bacterial small subunit ribosomal RNA", at positions 28 to 507 of the family's 1533-position model. The record is from RNAcentral.